UUUUAAUCAUUUCAAGUUUGG
This 21-nucleotide non-coding RNA is filed under the name Caenorhabditis elegans. Lineage: Eukaryota; Metazoa; Nematoda; Chromadorea; Rhabditida; Rhabditidae. The record is from RNAcentral.